GUGUGAAAAACAUAGCCUCCAAGGGGGACCAUUUAAAGAUUUUAAGCAGUGAUGUGACAUAAUUAGGUUUUUGUUUCAAAAGGUCGCUUUGACACCUGAACACAUCGUGGAGGCUGGACUGGAGGGAAGUGAGACUGGAGAGACCCAGAGAGAAGGCAGAGCAAGAACUGGCUACUCUGGGCUCCAUCCCAGGGUCAGCAUCCACUUUAGAUGGCGCCGGGGUUCACGGCUUGCCAGUCUCCACCUAGCUGCUUCUCCCAUUCAUAUUUCCUGCCUGGCCCAUGACCACCUUUGCCUUUGCAACCCCUGCCUUUGACUGUUUUUCGUCUUGUAUAUCCAGUCGGCCACCAAAUUCUGUUGUUUCUUCCCUCAGAUUACCUCAGAUUUGUUCCUCUCUCCAUUACUAUCCCAUCAUCCUAGAUUAGACACUUCAGGCUUGGGUUUCUCCAGGAACCUCUUCACGGUUCUUCUUGCUUUCAGUCUGUCUGCCCACCAAUCUUACAUCGCCACUGCUUAGCUUCUCUUGGUUCUUCAUGACAUAUUGCAGUACAGUUUUGUACAUUUUUGUUUCAGAUUUCUCCUCUUCUUCCCAGUCUUUGGCUUCUGUAGAAAAUUCUAAGCAGAGCAGAAGAUUAAAAUAGUGACUAGUGCAUUUCCAGUCUCUAGAAGCAGUGAUAACCAUGUUUCCUUUGCCUCUUUUUAUGCCAGAUAUUUGUAGAGUUAGCAGGACUUAAAAGGCAAGGGGACACCUUUCCCUCUUGCCACUUGCCUCUUGCCACUUUUUCCUCAGUGAAAGAUUUUGUGAAGAAGUGGAAUUUCAAGUUGAGUGGGUAAGAUUAUUUCAGGGAAUAUUAUAUUUGAGACUUCAUGCUAUCGGAUGCUCCCAAAGGGUGGUAAAUAACUACUGGGGUUGGUAAUAAUGAUGAAGGGUGGUAAUAGGAAAAUAGGGAAACUAUCUAUGUACCUAGGAAGAUUCUUGGGCCAAGUGUGAGAGGGCAGAGAAGAACUGGGGCCUUCCUGGGCACUCACAGAGGUGCUGGUCCAGGCCCAGAUGGAGCAGACAGGUGAAAUAUGGUUCACGUGGAGCUUGAAUCAUCAAGGAAAUAAAUGUAUGUGGUUGCUUCUCCUGACAAUUCUUAAAUUUCUCUCUUAGGAAUCUUUGGCCAUCUAUGAAACAAUUUCCAUGGGAAAAUGACUUGUUUGGACUGUAUUUUCACAAAGCUGAUAUUUCUGGCCCUUAGAAUAUGAUACCUGUUUGUCUAAAAAACAUAUAUCUAUUCAGAUAGGACAAAAUUCCUUUUCACUGCAGUAUUGGGAGCCUGGAACUAGAGUUACCAACCCCUCUGCGUUAAAGAAGGAGCUGUCCUGAGGCUUCCAUCUCUACUGGGCUUGAGGCAAGAACAUUGUUAGGGACGGCCUGCUCUUGGCCUCUGUGCCCCAGGGAUUGCAAAUGCAUGUUCCUCAAAGGUAAGGGCUGUAUCAUUCGGCUUUCUUUGUAUUCACAGGUACAGCUUGUGCUAGGCAGCCGGUGUUC
This is a long non-coding RNA of Homo sapiens (human), 1534 nucleotides long. Lineage: Eukaryota; Metazoa; Chordata; Mammalia; Primates; Hominidae. The record is from Ensembl.